Molecule: transfer RNA, 66 nt
Filed under: Sciara ruficauda
Lineage: Eukaryota; Metazoa; Arthropoda; Insecta; Diptera; Sciaridae
Description: tRNA-Gly
Source: RNAcentral
AUUUAUAUAGUAUAAUAAUUAUAUAUAACUUCCAAUUAUAAGAUUUAAAUUUAUUUAAUAUAAAUA